UGAGCAAUCUGCCCUUCUCAUCGGAAUAAGCGUUGGGAACGACGUCUAAUGCCGAAUACGACCUCCUUUCGCAUGAUCGGAGGUGGAAAGCUCCGGCGGAGAAGGAUGAGCUCGCGGCCUAUCAGCUAGUUGGUGUGGGUAACGGCCCACCAAGGCGACGACGGGUAGCCGGCCUGAGAGGGUGACCGGCCACACUGGGACUGAGACACGGCCCAGACUCCGUACGGGAGGNAGCG
Molecule: ribosomal RNA, 236 nt
Filed under: uncultured bacterium
Lineage: Bacteria
Description: partial 16S ribosomal RNA
Rfam family: Bacterial small subunit ribosomal RNA
Source: RNAcentral